GAGUCUUAACCGGGCGUUAAGUUGCAGGGUAUAGACCCGAAACCCGGUGAUCUAGCCAUGGGCAGGUUGAAGGUUGGGUAACACUAACUGGAGGACCGAACCGACUAAUGUUGAAAAAUUAGCGGAUGACCUGUGGCUGGGGGUGAAAGGCCAAUCAAACCGGGAGAUAGCUGGUUCUCCCCGAAAGCUAUUUAGGUAGCGCCUCGUGAAUUCAUCUCCGGGGGUAGAGCACUGUUUCGGCUAGGGGGCCAUCCCGGCUUACCAACCCGAUGCAAACUGCGAAUACCGGAGAAUGUUAUCACGGGAGACACACGGCGGGUGCUAACGUCCGUCGUGAAGAGGGAAACAACCCAGACCGCCAGCUAAGGUCCCAAAGUCAUGGUUAAGUGGGAAACGAUGUGGGAAGGCCCAGACAGCCAGGAUGUUGGCUUAGAAGCAGCCAUCAUUUAAAGAAAGCGUAAUAGCUCACUGGUCGAGUCGGCCUGCGCGGAAGAUGUAACGGGGCUAAACCAUGCACCGAAGCUGCGGCAGCGAACGUAUCACUUAAAGCGAUUCAGCGGGUUACGAUUGACGGAGCGAAGCGACGUCAAAGCGUAUACAAAGUCGAGUCGGUUUAAGGAUACGUUCGUUGGGUAGGGGAGCGUUCUGUAAGCCUGUGAAGGUGUGUCGUGAGGCAUGCUGGAGGUAUCAGAAGUGCGAAUGCUGACAUAAGUAACGAUAAAGCGGGUGAAAAGCCCGCUCGCCGGAAGACCAAGGGUUCCUGUCCAACGUUAAUCGGGGCAGGGUGAGUCGACCCCUAAGGCGAGGCCGAAAGGCGUAGUCGAUGGGAAACGGGUUAAUAUUCCCGUACUUGGUGUUACUGCGAAGGGGGGACGGAGAAGGCUAUGUUGGCCGGGCGACGGUUGUCCCGGUUUAAGCGUGUAGGUGUGUGUUCCAGGUAAAUCCGGUUCACUUUAACACUGAGGCGUGACGACGAGGCACUACGGUGCUGAAGCAACAAAUGCCCUGCUUCCAGGAAAAGCCUCUAAGCAUCAGGUAACAUCAAAUCGUACCCCAAACCGACACAGGUGGUCAGGUAGAGAAUACCAAGGCGCUUGAGAGAACUCGGGUGAAGGAACUAGGCAAAAUGGUGCCGUAACUUCGGGAGAAGGCACGCUGACACGUAGGUGAAGUGAUUUACUCAUGGAGCUGAAGUCAGUCGAAGAUACCAGCUGGCUGCAACUGUUUAUUAAAAACACAGCACUGUGCAAACACGAAAGUGGACGUAUACGGUGUGACGCCUGCCCGGUGCCGGAAGGUUAAUUGAUGGGGUCAGCGCAAGCGAAGCUCCUGAUCGAAGCCCCGGUAAACGGCGGCCGUAACUAUAACGGUCCUAAGGUAGCGAAAUUCCUUGUCGGGUAAGUUCCGACCUGCACGAAUGGCGUAAUGAUGGCCAGGCUGUCUCCACCCGAGACUCAGUGAAAUUGAACUCGCUGUGAAGAUGCAGUGUACCCGCGGCAAGACGGAAAGACCCCGUGAACCUUUACUAUAGCUUGACACUGAACAUUGAGCCUUGAUGUGUAG
Molecule: ribosomal RNA, 1563 nt
Filed under: Salmonella enterica subsp. enterica serovar Newport
Lineage: Bacteria; Pseudomonadati; Pseudomonadota; Gammaproteobacteria; Enterobacterales; Enterobacteriaceae
Description: partial 23S ribosomal RNA
Rfam family: Bacterial large subunit ribosomal RNA
Source: RNAcentral